UUUAAUCAGGUGAAAGUGAAUACCAUGCUUGGUUCACGUGUUCUAAUAAGAGUUUUACCACCUGCAAAAGUAAGAUUUAAAGCAAGAGAACAUGAUAAUUGUAGUAUAAACGGCUCAUGACACACCCUGAUCCGGAAUGUCCACUAGGACUCCGAAUCGAGUUGUGCUGGUCAACACCUGAAAGGUGACGAAGCCAUAAAGUAUAGUGAUGUGGAAAUGUGAAUAAAUUUAAACCUAAUAAUUUCUAAAGACAAGAGUGCGCUGUGAGCGAGAAUGAACUCAUUUCACACUCGAAGUCAGAGCAUAAAUAUAGUACAGUAGUGGGUAAGGAUCAUGCCCUCAGAGGUAGCCACCUAUACUGAGAUUCACCAAGAAUCCUCGUCGAUACGAACUUUUAGCAUCUAAAACCUGGAGGAGCGAAAAACAAGAGUGAGUGGGCAAAAACAAAACGUUUGAAAACUAUUUAUCUUUAUGAACAUAAUAACCCCUUUCCGUAAAACCCGUAUAGUUUCUAGAAAAUAAUAAUACAUACGUAUAUAGAAAUCAUGCUCGAAAGUAGUGAAAACCAAGUAUAUGCUAUGUCAAGUAUCUCAACAAUGAAAUAAGUAAGCCAGGUGAAAUAAAUCAAUAUAAAAUUAUAUGUCAGCCGAAGUCACCUAAUGUGACAUGUACAACUGAGCCUAUAGCUCAUCUACCAAUUCCUGCACACAAGUCGGAACCACCUAAUGUGGUAUGUACGAUAGGCUAUGUGUAAAUAGAUACGCUUAAGUGCUACAAUCACGUAAAGACUCUGCAAAGUAUCGCAACUCACCUACAAGUCGGAAGCACCUAAUGUGGUAUGUACGACAAGCUGGCACCUACCUUGGAUCCAAGGUGAGCAUGUGGUGCGGGAGGUGAACGAUCACGUGAAGGCUAAGCCCUAGCCUCGGGGGGAGCACUAACACCGGGGUGCAGGAUAAUGAGUACUAAAUGCAUCUAAACAAAACCAUACCCAUUGCAAUCACUAUCAUCAAUAUAUACUCACCUGAAACUUACCUGGGCAUCCGCUGCGUCAUGCAAUAAUAUGUGUAUCUAUACUAACGCAUAUGCUAAAAUGUAAUGCAAUUGACAUGGUAUUUGAAAAAAAAACCGUAAAUCCAUUUAAAACAAUUUCUGGAAAAUGUAAAGCAUAUAUACAUGUGUGUGUGUAUAUAUAUAUAUAUAUACCCAUUGCAAUCACUAUCAUCAAUAUAUACUCACCUGAAACUUACUUGGGCAUCCGCUGUGUCAUGCAAUAAGAUGUGUAUCUAUACUAACGCAUAUGCUAAAAUGUAAUGCAAUUUCUGGAACAUGUAAAGCAUAUAUAUAUAUAUAUAGAAAACCAAAAAAACCCACUCAUAGAACAUGACGUUGGGUCGAACCCGCCUCGCGGCUUCGAAAAUCCUUGCAAUGUGUUUCACCUAGAAACAAAACCAUUAUGUACUUAUGUAUAACGUGCUAAAGUAUAAACGAGUUUUCUAGAUUUUAUUGCGUGUUUUUCCCUUAACUUUAGGAGCUCAUUUCAAGCUCAAUUUUCAACCAAAUUCAACGAUUCAAAAGCCAACUAGAAGUUAGAAAUGUGGGAAACAUGUUCGUACUAGUUUGAAAUCAAAUAAUGGCCGGAGUUGACCGGGAAAAUGGUCUGAAAGUGGCCAAAUGGCCACGGGUCCAAGUUUUCCAGAAUCUAGGAAAUUUCGUCCCAAAUUUCAGAGCUAAUUUCUAGCUCAAUUCUCAAUCAAAUUUGAUGAUUGAGCCAUAUUAAAGCUAGAAAUGUAGAGAACAAGUCCAUACCAAAUUGAAGCCGAGUUUAUGUCGGAGUUGGCCAAAAAAAUGGCCUAAAGAUGGCCAACUGGUCAUGACCAAAAUUUCCAUAAUCUAAAAAGAUUUCAACCCAACUUUGAAGGCUAAUUUCUAGUUCACUACUUAACCAAACUCGAUGAUUCAAAAACUAACUUGAAGCUAGAAAUGUAGUGAAUACCAGUUUCGAGGGCCAACCAUCACCGAGAUGGCCGGAAAAUCCUCUCAAAGGGCUAAAUAGUCACGGUCCAAGCUUCCAAAAUUUCUAGGGAAGUCCUCCCUUCGUCCCCGCAUCUUCUAAACCCUAUCCAAAACACGUCUAAGCCCUGAGAUCGUUCACUAGAAAUGAAAAAGAAUAAGGGAGAGAGAGAUCCUAAUGCCUACCUUGGUCGGGUUUCAUUGAAGUCGCCGGAAUCUCAACUUUUAAAACUGAAUUCCUUUUGAGCUCCAAGGCACAGUUCUCAUAACCCAAACUUGGGGUUAAGUUCAUAAAGGUGAGAUGAUUGUAGCAUGGUGCUGUAAUGGUCUGGGUCUCGUAUGUACGGAAGUUGUCAUGUGUGGUGGUGUCUCGGUGGUGACUAACCCAGAGAGAGAUAGUGAGUUUGAAAUGAGAGGUGAGGGCAGUGAGAGUUAAAAGAGAGGGAAAGAUCCAGGGGAUAGGGAACUCGGGAAAAUGGGGGAGAAUGGGUUGAUGCGGUAGUUCCUGGCCUGUAUUUUUGGCCUCUCUGUUUACAGAGAAGAAGAUAAGGAGGCAGAGAGAGAUGAGAGGGUUCUCGAAUGAGAGACCAC
This 2604-nucleotide long non-coding RNA is filed under the name Malus domestica (apple). Its description in RNAcentral is "long non-coding RNA (MDOM_LNC009485)". The record is from RNAcentral. Lineage: Eukaryota; Viridiplantae; Streptophyta; Magnoliopsida; Rosales; Rosaceae.